GGCCCAAUACUAACCCAUACCCACUAACCUAAAAUUUAGCCCAACAAAAGCCCAAAUCCUACCAAACCCUAGCCCAUCCCAAUCAAAUCAACAACCAAACCCUAGGUGCGCCGCACCUAGGGUCUUCAGUCUUCUACCGUCUGCCAUGGCCACCAACUCUCCUCACCUGCCCUCUGCCACCGGACUGCCCUACCUGCACAACAAAUGAAACACGCAAGCAGCAAGAAUAGAUUAGAGAGCAAUGUAAAUGGCUAUAAAAGCCGAUCUAAACAAUUGUAAAAAGGAGGAGGGUUCUUAAAAAAAUAUAAAAAUCAAAAGAGAAAGGCAGGCCAUUCUACAUCCAUACAAACAACAGAUUUUAAAACAAAGAAAUCAGUUCAAAUCGAAGGAAGAAAAAUAGUAAAGCAAAAAACAGAUUCAAUCUAAGGUAGCCAACGUUUUUCUUUCUCAUACGCGCAUCAAUACAUCCAUAUAUACAUAAAGAUUUCAUUUUUAUACAUAUAUAUACAUAAAAACAAAGAACAUAUAAAAUAAAAAAAGGAACUAAAAAAAAUACCUUUUUUUAAAAGUCCGGCCACCGUGGUGACGGAGGUGCGGCGGCGACGGUGACCUUCCGGGCCAGAUUUUGGACUUAGUCCAGAGAAAAUGGCUCCCUCUCUCUCUCUUUUU
This 669-nucleotide long non-coding RNA is filed under the name Gossypium barbadense (sea-island cotton). Its description in RNAcentral is "long non-coding RNA (GBAR_LNC007714)". The record is from RNAcentral. Lineage: Eukaryota; Viridiplantae; Streptophyta; Magnoliopsida; Malvales; Malvaceae.